AUUAUUAUAAAGUUGAAGCACUUUGUAUCAGUCUGUCGUGGUAAUGAAGGAGCUGAGCCAAAAGGCGAAGCUCUCAAUUUACCGGUCGAUCUACGUUCCAACCCUCAUCUAUGGUCACGAGC
Long non-coding RNA from Hippocampus comes (tiger tail seahorse), 122 nucleotides. RefSeq lists it as uncharacterized. The transcript is spliced from 3 exons. Lineage: Eukaryota; Metazoa; Chordata; Actinopteri; Syngnathiformes; Syngnathidae. The record is from RefSeq and is a predicted model, not a curated record.